RNAcentral lists this ribosomal RNA (465 nucleotides) under uncultured bacterium. RNAcentral describes it as "partial 16S ribosomal RNA". It matches the Rfam family "Bacterial small subunit ribosomal RNA", at positions 28 to 507 of the family's 1533-position model. The record is from RNAcentral.
GACGAACGCUGGCGGCGUGCUUAACACAUGCAAGUCGAACGGAAAGGCCCUGCUUGCAGGGUACUCGAGUGGCGAACGGGUGAGUAACACGUGGGUGAUCUGCCCUGCACUUCGGGAUAAGCCUGGGAAACUGGGUCGAAUACCGGAUAGGAGCCAUUUUGAGUGUGAGGGUUGGAAAGUUUUUUCGGUGUAGGAUGAGCUCGCGGCCUAUCAGCUUGUUGGUGGGGUAAUGGCCUACCAAGGCGGCGGCGGGUAGCCGGCCUGAGAGGGUGGACGGCCACAUUGGGACUGAGAGACGGCCCCGACUCCGACGGGGGGCAGCAGUGGGGAAUAUUGCCCGAUGGGCGCCAGCCUGAUGCAGCGACGCCGCGUGGGGGAUGACGGCCUUCGGGUUGUAAACUCCUUUCGCUAGGGACGAAGCUUUUUGUGACGGUACCUAGAUAAGAAGCACCGGCUAACUACGUG